UACGUAGGGUGCAAGCGUUAAUCGGAAUUACUGGGCGUAAAGCGUGCGCAGGCGGUUGUGCAAGACCGAUGUGAAAUCCCCGGGCUUAACCUGGGAAUGGCAUUGGUGACUGUACGGCUAGAGUGUGUCAGAGGGGGGUAGAAUUCCACGUGUAGCAGUGAAAUGCGUAGAGAUGUGGGGGAAUACCGAUGGCGAAGGCAGCCCCCUGGGCUAACACUGACGCUCAGGCACGAAAGCGUGGGGAGCAAACAGG
RNAcentral lists this ribosomal RNA (253 nucleotides) under uncultured bacterium. RNAcentral's name for it is "partial 16S ribosomal RNA". It matches the Rfam family "Bacterial small subunit ribosomal RNA", at positions 524 to 776 of the family's 1533-position model. The record is from RNAcentral.